UACGGAGGGUGCAAGCGUUAUCCGGAUUCACUGGGUUUAGAGGGUGCGUAGGUGGGUUGGUAAGUCAGUGGUGAAAUCUCCGAGCUUAACUUGGAAACUGCCAUUGAUACUAUCAGUCUUGAAUAUUGUGGAGGUCAGCGGAAUAUGUCAUGUAGCGGUGAAAUGCUUAGAUAUGACAUAGAACACCAAUUGCGAAGGCAGCUGGCUACACAUAUAUUGACACUGAGGCACGAAAGCGUGGGGAUCAAACAGG
This 253-nucleotide ribosomal RNA is filed under the name uncultured bacterium. RNAcentral describes it as "partial 16S ribosomal RNA". It matches the Rfam family "Bacterial small subunit ribosomal RNA", at positions 524 to 776 of the family's 1533-position model. The record is from RNAcentral.